This 464-nucleotide long non-coding RNA is filed under the name Homo sapiens (human). Its description in RNAcentral is "HSALNT0074745". The record is from RNAcentral. Lineage: Eukaryota; Metazoa; Chordata; Mammalia; Primates; Hominidae.
CCACUGCGGUCAGCCUUCCCUGGUGGUGAGCUGCUGUCAGAACCUCCCCACUACUCCUCUGGGUGGCCCCAGUCUUGUGCCUAUUUCCCUCUCGUGGUCAUCAAGUCUCGCCCAGAUGGAGUCUCAGUUUUAUAAGGGGGAGUUUCCCUGCACAAGCUCUCUCUCUUUGUCUGCUGCCAUUCAUGUAAAAUGUGACUUGCUCCUCCUUGCCUUCCGUCAUGAUUGUGAUGCCUCCCAGCCAUGUGGAAAUGACUUGACCUCUUGCCCACCAGAUAACUCUUGUUAAAACAGAUUUCAAGUCAUAAUCUCUCCUGAAGACUCUUGAUUCAUUGUCAUGCAUCCCCUGGUACUAUUAUACACAUCCAUUAUAAGAAGAAAGCUAACAGAAAAUAUGCUUCCUUGCCAGAGUAUACUACUAAGUUGGAAUCACAGCAGUAUUUUCUUCUAUGAACUCUAUAGCUUAG